AAGAGAGGGCAUGGGGAGAAGUUGAGCUGCAAUACAGCAGCCACAAAAUCCUCAGCUAGUCAUCCAUGGGGAAGCCACGGAGCUAGGAGGACACUUCAAGGAUGUUCCUGAGUGAAGUCCUUACCUUGGUACAUAAUAGGGAAGAAGAUUCAGAGGUUUGAGAAGUGCUAUCUCCAACUUUCUUGCCGGGAAAGGCAGUCACAUGCCUGCAAUCUUUCAAUUCUGCUCUGCAACAUAAGAAUGGGCUUUGGGCCUGGAAUGCUUCCUAACCAAGAGAUAGGGAGACCUCAAAGCCUGUGCUGGGAUUAUAACUUUGUGUGGGAAUAUAUUUGCCUGUUUCAGAUCCAAUAAUAACUUUGUCUUUCUAUUUAAGCAUUUGCUUCACGUGAUACCAGGCCAACUCUACCACCAUAACCCAUUCUUAGCUGCGGGAGGAAAUAGGUUCCUUCACUUGCAGAACAAGAGGAGUGCAUGUAGUUAAUCAGUGUGCAUUGGCUGCAAUACAACCCCCUGAGCCACAAGGAUUGGCACCCACUAUUGAAGCUAAUCUUGUUCUGUCUCCUCUAUGUGGGUAAAGCCAUGUUCCAUCCAGUGCAUGUGUGAGUUCUAUCUUUCUUAUUGACCCUGAACCAUGAUGUGGAUUGGCAUCCUGGGUAUGCUGCUUCUGUGGAAUGGGAAUCCUUCCCUGGAGGUUAUAACAGGAAUUCCUCGAUCAACGCCUCUAAUUAAAUGCCAGGCAUCACCAAUUCUGCACAACUUUAGCCAUCUGUUCAACACCUCUGGGGUUACUUUCUCUUCUUGGGAGUGACUCAAGGAAUAGGGAUGCAGGCUAUCUUCUAAGGGAACUGAGCAGCAUCUUUAACCUCUGGAUCUUCCUUCAGAGAGAAAUGUCACUCCCUGGGGAUCUUGUUUUCCAGAUACUACAAGAAGAAAGUGUUUUCAGAAGUUUACACUGAAAACAAGAAAGUCCAAAUUACUGAGUCCAACUUUUCUUAUUUCAGAUGAAUGGUUUCAUCAAGAGUGGCCACCUUGGAAGAUGAAACAAACUUAGGAAUGAAGGCUAUGCAUAAAGGACUCAAAAGAGAGAGCCAGGUGCCUGACACCACAGAGGACUGAACCAAAUUUCUCUGGACCAUCUGCUUCCACAUUUGUUGUAAGAGAGAAUUAAACUUUUCUCUCACUUAAGCCACAAUUAUUUGUAUUUUCCUGUCACUCUCUACCAAAUUUAACCUUAAAAAACUCAAUAUGUGUGGCUGAUGUGUAAAUUCCCAAGCCAAUUGUAAUUUUUAAAGAUUAUUUACACUCUUUCCUGCUUUCAAUUAGCAAUAUUAAUUAAAACUUGAUUUUACUUCUCUAAUUCUGUCUAAAUUUAAAACAGUUUCCCUAUUUUUUAUAUGCACUAACAGCUGAGUUUCAGGAAAAGACAAAAGCCCAACCUGAGCAGCCAUGUAGAUUCGUGUAGAACCCUAAAUUAAGAACAACAACAACAAAAAAACUUAUCUGUAGUAUGAACAUUAUAUUCACUUUGAAUUUGGAUAUUUCCUGAUUGACAAGGAAGAUUAAGAUACUCCUAUAGGAAGAUAUUUUUCUAAUUUCUUAAUUUAUAUAUUGAAAUAUAGUGAAAAUAAGACAAAAAAGUCAUACUUAACAAUCACACAGCCUUAAAGAAAACAGAGAGCAGUAGCAAUCACUAACAAUACAGUGUGAUAAGCAUUAGCAUAGAUUGCACUAAAUACAUAUUAGUGACUAAUAAACUCUAGCACAGAUUAAGUUAAACAUACAUUAGUAAAUAGACUAGCAAGGAACAUAUAACAAUAUUUCAUGUAUCUUGCAGAUUAUAUAAUAAUUUCCCAUCUUGUCUACUAACAUCUGUAAUAUAAUUUACUUUAAUUUUUGUUGCUAAUUCUUUAUCCCAUGAAUCAUAUUCCACACAUCAAAGAAUCUAGCAAUUUUUUAUAAACUAAUGGAAAUAUAUUGCAAAUUCUUGGAAAUCACAUAUCCUGUGAAACUUUAACAAAUUUAUUUAAGAGAAUAUAUAUUUAAGUACUCAUAUUGUAUAUAAGUAAAAUACAUCUAUUUAAGACUACAUAUAUAGCUUUAAAUAUUUAUGUGAUCUAUAAAUUCUGCUCUUUAGCAUUUAAGAAGCCCUCAUCUACCACUGCUUUUUUCUUCUAGGAAUGCUUCCUCUUCCACUCCAUCUACAUAGUUCUGUGUCAUGUCCUUCUAUAACUGCAGUUUAAAGGGUAAUCAGAGUGCGCCAAUCAGAUACAUUUCCUGGGAUUUUAGAAUUUGUGAUCAGAGAAAGUAGAAGUCAUUUUUGUCAUUUCACUGAAGUUGUGAGUUGUAAAAUUCAGAGACUAAUGUAGGUAAUAUUUCCAUCCAAGUGAAGAGGGCCAGUUUGCAGUGAGAGGAAAUAAUUCUAAAUAGACCAAAAUAAGUAUCAUCAAGAGGGAAAGGAGAAAGAGAGAGUUCUGCCACAAUCAACUUCCAGUUUCAACUUUUCCUGAGGCCUCAUAUGCAUCACUGCCUUUCUUGUGGCUCAACUACUCAAAGCCUUCUUAGAAGCAAUGAUGUAAUCAAUGUACCCUUAUGCUCUUGUUCUGAAGCUCUCUUGAAUCAUGGGCUUGAAUCAUUCCAAUUAACUUACAUCAUGGUGUAGUAAGCAACCCCAAAUUAUAAUGGUUUAAAGAAAACAAAUGAUUAUUUCUGUCUCUCAUGUUAUAUGACACUUAGGGAUUGGCAGAAAGAGCCCUGUUUGUCACAGCCACUUGGAAACUUAAGUAAAUGCUACAGACUAGUUGUCAAGUCAGACGGCAAUGAGCUGUAGAAGGUCUCACAGUAGCAAUUAAGUGCUUUAAACUCAAAUCAGAAAUUAGCACACAUAACUUCUAUUUUCAACACUUUGUCUAGAACUGGUAAUACAACCCCAACUGACCACAAGAGAACCAAGGUUUUAGUCUGGCAAUAUACACCAAAAAAAAAAAAAAAAAAAAAAAGUGAGAAAAGGAAAUAAAACAUUAGCAACCAGAAUCCUAAUUGGGGAUAUCACCACAGAUCCCACAGAAAUACAAACUACUAUCAGACAAUAUUAUAAACAACUCAAUGCAAAUAAAUAAGAAAAUUCAGAAGAAAUGGAUAAAUUCCUGUACAAAUAAACCCUCCCAAGACUAAACCAGGAAGAAGUCAAAUUCCUGAAUAGACCAAUAACAAGUUCUGAAAUUGAGGCAGUAAUUAAUAGCCUACAAAAAAAAAAAAAGCCCAGGACCAGACGGAUUCACAGCUGAAUUCUACCAGAGGUACAAAAAGGAGCUGGUACCAUUCCUUCUGAAACUAUUCCAAACAAUAGAAAAAGAAGGACUCUUCCCUAUCUCAUUUUAUGAGGCCAGCAUCACCCUGAUACGAAAACCUGGCAGAGACACAACAAAAAAAGAAAAUUUUAGGCCAGUAUCCCUGAUGAACAUUGAUGAGAAAAUCCUCAAUAAAAUACUGGCAAACCGAAUCCAGCAGCACAUCAAAAAGCUUAUCCACCACGAUCAAGACGGCUUCAUCCUGGGAUGCAAGGCUGGUUCAACAUAUGCAAAUCAAUAGAUGUAAUCCAUCACAUAAACAGAACCAUUGACAAAAAACACAUGAUUAUCUCAAUAGAUGCAGAAAAGGCCUUCGAUAAAAUGAAACACCUCUUCAUGCUAAAAACUCUCAAUAAACUAGGUAUUGAUGGAACGUAUCUCAAAAUAAUAAGAGCUAUUUAUGACAAACAUGCAGCCAAUGUCAUACUGAAUGGGCAAAAGUUGGAAGCAUUCCCUUUGAAAAUCACCACAAGACAAGAUGUCCUCUCUCACCACUCCUACUCAACAUAGUAUUGGAAGUUCUGGCCAGGGCAAUCAGGCAAGAGAAAGAAAUAAAGCGUAUUCAAAUAGGAAGAAAGGAAGUCAAAUUGUCUGUUUGCAGAUGACAUGAUUGUAUAUUUAGAAGACCCCAUCAUCUCAGACCAAAAUCUCCGUAAGCUGAUAAGCAACUUCAGCAAAGUAUCAGGAUACAAAAUCAGUGUGCAAAAAUCAC
This 4059-nucleotide long non-coding RNA is filed under the name Homo sapiens (human). Its description in RNAcentral is "HSALNT0192808". Lineage: Eukaryota; Metazoa; Chordata; Mammalia; Primates; Hominidae. The record is from RNAcentral.